UAGAGUUUGAUCAUGGCUCAGGAUGAACGCUAGCGGCAGGCUUAACACAUGCAAGUCGAGGGGCAUCGGGAGGAAAGCUUGCUUUCCUUGCCGGCGACCGGCGCACGGGUGAGUAACACGUAUGCAACCUGCCCUCUUCAGGGGGACAACCUUCCGAAAGGGAGGCUAAUCCCGCGUAUAUCGGUUUCGGGCAUCCGAGAUCGAGGAAAGAUUCAUCGGAAGAGGAUGGGCAUGCGGCGCAUUAGCUUGACGGCGGGGUAACGGCCCACCGUGGCGACGAUGCGUAGGGGUUCUGAGAGGAAGGUCCCCCACACUGGUACUGAGACACGGACCAGACUCCUACGGGAGGCAGCAGUGAGGAAUAUUGGUCAAUGGGAGAGAUCCUGAACCAGCCAAGCCGCGUGAGGGAAGACGGCCCUAUGGGUUGUAAACCUCUUUUGUCGGAGAACAAAACCCGGGACGUGUCCCGGACUGCGUGUAUCCGAAGAAAAAGCAUCGGCUAACUCCGUGCCAGCAGCCGCGGUAAUACGGAGGAUGCGAGCGUUAUCCGGAUUUAUUGGGUUUAAAGGGUGCGUAGGCGGUCCGUUAAGUCAGCGGUAAAAUUGCGGGGCUCAACCCCGUCGAGCCGUUGAAACUGGCAGACUUGAGUUGGCGAGAAGUACGCGGAAUGCGCGGUGUAGCGGUGAAAUGCAUAGAUAUCGCGCAGAACUCCGAUUGCGAAGGCAGCGUACCGGCGCCACACUGACGCUGAGGCACGAAAGCGUGGGGAUCGAACAGGAUUAGAUACC
RNAcentral lists this ribosomal RNA (788 nucleotides) under uncultured bacterium. RNAcentral describes it as "bacterial SSU rRNA". It matches the Rfam family "Bacterial small subunit ribosomal RNA", at positions 1 to 786 of the family's 1533-position model. The record is from RNAcentral.